GACGAACGCUGGCGGCGUGCCUAAUACAUGCAAGUAGGACGCAGUUGCGAACGGGUGAUUAACGCGCAGGUAACUGCCUAUUAGAGGGGGAUAACUAUUGGAAACGAUAGCUCAUACCGCAUACUAGUAGAUUUACCUGCUUUGUAUUAGCUAGUAGGUAGGGUAAUGGCCUACCUAGGCGGAGAUACAUAGCCGGCCUGGGGGGGUGGUCGGGCACACCGGGAAUGAGACACGGCCCAGACUCCUAAGGGAGGCAGGAGGAGGGAAUCUUGGGCAAUGGGGGGAACCCUGACCGAGCAAAGGCGGGUGAGUGAAGAAGGUUUUCGGGUCGUAAAGCUCUGUUGUUAAGGAAGCGGUACUUAAACAGAAAGGGACGGCUAACUACGUGCCAGCAGCCGCGGUAAUAC
Molecule: ribosomal RNA, 407 nt
Filed under: uncultured bacterium
Lineage: Bacteria
Description: partial 16S ribosomal RNA
Rfam family: Bacterial small subunit ribosomal RNA
Source: RNAcentral